Molecule: ribosomal RNA, 448 nt
Filed under: uncultured bacterium
Lineage: Bacteria
Description: bacterial SSU rRNA
Rfam family: Bacterial small subunit ribosomal RNA
Source: RNAcentral
UGGCGGACGGGUGAGUAACGCGUGGGUAACCUGCCUUGUACUGGGGGACAACGAUUGGAAACGAUCGCUAAUACCGCAUAAGCGCACAGUGUCGCAUGACACGGUGUGAAAAACUCCGGUGGUACAAGAUGGACCCGCGUCUGAUUAGUUAGUUGGUGAGGUAAUGGCUCACCAAGACAGCGAUCAGUAGCCGGACUGAGAGGUCGAACGGCCACAUUGGGACUGAGACACGGCCCAGACUCCUACGGGAGGCAGCAGUGGGGAAUAUUGCACAAUGGGCGAAAGCCUGAUGCAGCGACGCCGCGUGAGCGAAGAAGUAUUUCGGUAUGUAAAGCUCUAUCAGCAAGGAAGAUAAUGACGGUACUUGACUAAGAAGCCCCGGCUAACUACGUGCCAGCAGCCGCGGUAAUACGUAGGGGGCAAGCGUUAUCCGGAUUUACUGGGUGUA